UCAGAGUGUGCUGUUUGCUCCUUUCCUGCUUUUCAGCAUUGAGGUUGAAGACCAUGGUUAAGGAGGACAAAGGACAGAAAUGGACAGCUGAACAUUCUUCAGAGGCAACACAAUAAUAGUGGGACUUUUACCAAGGACAAGUCAGAGAAAAAUGAUGACACAAGAGACCUGAAAUAUGAAGAAAAUAAUCCUUUUGGGGGAUGCUUUAGGAAAAAGUUUUAUGACCUAAGUUUCUGAGUGAUAUAAAUCUUUUACAGACAAGCAAUAACAUGAAGAAUCUUAUUAAAAGACAAAGAGCAAAUUUCAUUAAAAAUGUGUACAUUGAGUAACAUUUUGAAUUCUGUUUUACUUCGUUGUAUAAAGGCAUUUGAACUAUAACAACCUUUA
Long non-coding RNA from Peromyscus leucopus (white-footed mouse), 387 nucleotides. RefSeq lists it as uncharacterized. NCBI's taxonomy places the organism in Eukaryota, Metazoa, Chordata, Mammalia, Rodentia, Cricetidae. The transcript has 3 exons. The record is from RefSeq and is a predicted model, not a curated record.